AAUUAAAAAAUCAUAUAUUAAUUCAAAAAUGCAACACCAUGCAUAAUAUUUGUCCCAAGAUACAAAAAAUAUAAUAAUAGAUCGAAACAUAAACACUACAUAUGUCGAACCCCUGCCUUCUCCUCCAAUGAUUGUACUACAUGACAUUUCAUAACUCGAAAAUCAUGUUCUGCACGAGGGCCAAUUGAGGACUAACAGCCUCAAAGAGUCCUUCCUCUAUGCCUACUCUAUCCAUCUCCACAACACGUC
RNAcentral lists this long non-coding RNA (249 nucleotides) under Lathyrus oleraceus (garden pea). Its description in RNAcentral is "Pisum sativum (pea) long non-coding RNA (PSAT_LNC018968)". Lineage: Eukaryota; Viridiplantae; Streptophyta; Magnoliopsida; Fabales; Fabaceae. The record is from RNAcentral.